RNAcentral lists this ribosomal RNA (253 nucleotides) under uncultured bacterium. RNAcentral's name for it is "partial 16S ribosomal RNA". It matches the Rfam family "Bacterial small subunit ribosomal RNA", at positions 524 to 776 of the family's 1533-position model. The record is from RNAcentral.
GACAGAGGGUGCAAACGUUGUUCGGAAUUACUGGGCGUAAAGCGCGUGUAGGCGGCUCUGCAAGUCAGGUGUGAAAUCCCACGGCUCAACCAUGGAAGUGCACUUGAAACUGCAGGGCUAGAGUCCUGGAGAGGAAGGUGGGAUGCUUGGUGUAGAGGUGAAAUUCGUAGAUAUCAAGCGGAACACCGGUGGCGAAGGCGGCCUUCUGGACAGUGACUGACGCUGAGACGCGAAAGCGUGGGGAGCAAACAGG